This is a long non-coding RNA of Magallana angulata, 310 nucleotides long. RefSeq lists it as uncharacterized. The record is from RefSeq and is a predicted model, not a curated record. NCBI's taxonomy places the organism in Eukaryota, Metazoa, Mollusca, Bivalvia, Ostreida, Ostreidae. The transcript is spliced from 3 exons.
UUUUAAACAAGUCGGUUAUACUCUUUGUCGUUAAAAACAAUGACAGUAAAAUUGAUUUGCAUUGUUUUGAUGCUUGAGGUUUCUCUAAUUAAGUCUGAAAUUUGUCCACGUGAAAACGCAAGACAAUGUUGUGUUGGAUUUAAAUGGAACGAUACACAAGAAACAUGUUUACCGUGUGAAAAAGGAUAUGUUGGAAUAAACUGUAGCUCAAAGUGCGUCUUUCCUUGGUAUGGAAUGAACUGUAUGUCAAACUGUAACUGUUCUGAGAACGACUGUGAUCUUGUGUACGGUUGUGUAAUAUCAAAUGAAG